This 405-nucleotide long non-coding RNA is filed under the name Glycine max (soybean). RNAcentral's name for it is "long non-coding RNA (GMAX_LNC002981)". The record is from RNAcentral. Lineage: Eukaryota; Viridiplantae; Streptophyta; Magnoliopsida; Fabales; Fabaceae.
AGUUUUACAGGUACCAAAAGUAAAAUAAAAACUUUUAGAGACCAAAAAUAAAAUACAUUAUAUUUUAGGAAUUAAAGCAACACAUAAAAUUUUGUCUCGGGCUUGAUCAAUGAUGCUUUGGGUCUGGGCCUUCAGGGGCAAGUCUUCCAGGCUUACGUGGGCUUUCUUGAAAUUCCAAGAACCUGCUCCUCAGACUAGCAUGGGCUCCAUAACUUAAAUCUUGGGCUGGAAAGCUCUUCAAACUAGUUGGAGUUCCGAGAGGACGGGAUUUACAACUCGAUAAUGAGAGGAACACAAGAAUAAGGCACAGCCAGAAGGAAGAUUUCAGUUUCAGCAUUUUCAAUGCGAGCACUGACUGAUCUUAAACCGUGUUAAGUAAUAUGAUAAAAUGUAUUUAUCUAUGAG